RNAcentral lists this long non-coding RNA (540 nucleotides) under Olea europaea (common olive). RNAcentral describes it as "long non-coding RNA (OEUR_LNC007773)". The record is from RNAcentral. Lineage: Eukaryota; Viridiplantae; Streptophyta; Magnoliopsida; Lamiales; Oleaceae.
GCUAAAAUAAUCAACAUGCGCGCACUAAUCCAUUUCUUUGAUUAAUCUAGACUCGGGUACAUAUUUGAAAGCCUCGAGUUCGUAGAUUAGAUUGUACUGCUGGCAAGGAGUUUCAAUUCCUUUAGAAUCAGCUAGCUGAGCUGCUUGUGCUGUUGCUCUGAAAUUGGAUGAAACCUUCAGAAUACACAGUAUACUUGUCGAUGCAAAAAAAUCCAGCCUCUUCUCAUCACCUGAAAGGAGGGGCAAGGAAUAGUUGAAUGAUUAAAACGACAAAAUGGUGCACUGAACAACAAAAUAGUGCAAUGAACAAAUAGCCAGAAGCUUUUCACUUUCAUCAAUUCGGACAGCAGCUAAAAAUGGUGGCCUCAAUCGAAUGACACAUUUACUGAAAAUCAGUUUUGCUGUUGAAAGAAUAUGCAACUUAACACUGAUUCAUCCCUUGUAAUGGAACUGGAAAAGAUGGUCCUCAAAGCCAAGUUGGCCCUUUCCAUAUCCAAACAUGUUCGGAUAUCUAUCUUCUCAAUUAUUUUUGAAAGCUGG